Molecule: non-coding RNA, 16 nt
Filed under: Arabidopsis thaliana (thale cress)
Lineage: Eukaryota; Viridiplantae; Streptophyta; Magnoliopsida; Brassicales; Brassicaceae
Source: RNAcentral
CUACAGUCCGACGAUC